GAUGAACGCUGGCGGCGUGCUUAACACAUGCAAGUCGAACGGGAAUUAUUUUAUUGCUACUUCUGACGAUUUACUUUAAUUCUAGUGGCGGGCGGGUGAGUAACGCGUGGUUAUCCUGCCUUAUACAGGGGGAUAACAGUCAGAAAUGGCUGCUAAUACCGCAUAAGCGCGCACAGCUGCAUGUCUCAGUUUGAACAACUCCGGUGGGAUAGGUUGGAUCCGCGUUGGAUUAGCUGGUUGGUGGGGUAACGGCGCACCAAGGCGACGUUCCAUAGCCGGCCAGAGAGGGUGAACCGCGACUUUGAGGCUGGGACACGGCCGGGAAUACUACGGGAGGCAGGAGUGGGUAAUACAGCAAAAUCGCGGAAACCCAGAAGCAGCGACGGUGCGAGAACGAAGAAGUAGGGCGGUAUGUAAAGUUCUAUAAGCAGGGGAGGUAGUGACGGUACCUGACGAAGAAGCCCCGGCUAACUACGUG
RNAcentral lists this ribosomal RNA (478 nucleotides) under uncultured bacterium. Its description in RNAcentral is "partial 16S ribosomal RNA". It matches the Rfam family "Bacterial small subunit ribosomal RNA", at positions 28 to 507 of the family's 1533-position model. The record is from RNAcentral.